This 73-nucleotide transfer RNA is filed under the name Blautia faecis. RNAcentral describes it as "tRNA-Ile". It matches the Rfam family "tRNA". Rfam says of the family: Transfer RNA (tRNA) molecules are approximately 80 nucleotides in length. Lineage: Bacteria; Bacillati; Bacillota; Clostridia; Lachnospirales; Lachnospiraceae. The record is from RNAcentral. RNAcentral also lists the same sequence under 3 other names.
UCGGAUGUAUCUCAGAUGGUAGAGUAUGUGCCUGAUAUGCACAUUGUCGAGCGUUCGAGCCGCUCCGUCCGAA